RNAcentral lists this ribosomal RNA (425 nucleotides) under uncultured bacterium. Its description in RNAcentral is "partial 16S ribosomal RNA". It matches the Rfam family "Bacterial small subunit ribosomal RNA", at positions 354 to 796 of the family's 1533-position model. The record is from RNAcentral.
GUGGGGAAUAUUGCACAAUGGGGGAAACCCUGAUGCAGCGACGCCGCGUGAGUGAAGAAGUAUUUCGGUACGUAAAGCUCUAUCAGCAAGGAAGAAAAUGACGGUACUUGACUAAGAAGCCCCGGCUAACUACGUGCCAGCAGCCGCGGUAAUACGUAGGGGGCAAGCGUUAUCCGGAUUUACUGGGUGUAAAGGGAGCGUAGACGGUAUGGUAAGUCAGAUGUGAAAGCCCGGGGCUCAACCCCGGGACUGCAAUUGGAACUAUCAGACUAGAGUGCAGGGGAGGUAAGUGGAAUUCCUAGUGUAGCGGUGAAAUGCGUAGAUAUUAGGAGGAACACCAGUGGCGAAGGCGGCGUACUGGACUGUAACUGACGUUGAGGCUCGAAAGCGUGGGGAGCAAACAGGAUUAGAAACCCGUGUAGUCC